AUCAGCAGCCGCCGGGACCCAACUAUCGUCUUCCUCUUCGCCCGCUCUCCAGCCUUUCCUCUGCUAAGUCUCCAUCGGGCAUCGACCUCGCCCUGCCCCACCGGACACCGUAGCAGCAGCUCCAGCAGCGACGGGACAAAAUGGGAGAGUGAGGCUGUCCCGUAGGGACCAGCUCGUGGCCAAGACUGAUCGGUGCGUCGGGCCGGGCCGAGUAGAGCCGGGGAUGCGGGGCUAGACAGUCUACAGCGCCUCUGAGCGGAGCGGGCCCGGCCCGUGGCCCGAGCGGCGGCCGCAGCUGGCACAGCUCCUCACCCGCCCUUCGCUUUCGCCUUUCCUCUUCUCUCUCCCUUGUUGCCCCGAGGGAGUCUCCACCCUGCUUCUCUUUUCUCUUCGCUCCUGCCCAUCUCCGGACGGGGACCCCUCCAUGGCGAAGGCGGCCGGGGCCCGCUAGGCCGAAGCACCUCGCCGGAGCGACGAGGCUGGUGGCGACGGCGCUGUCGGCUGUCGUGAGGGGCGGCCGGGUGGGAUGCGACUUUGGGCGUCCGAGCGGCUGUGGGUCGCUGUUGCCCCCGGCCGGGGGUCUGGAGAGCGGAGGUCCCCUCAGUGAGGGGAAGAAGAGGGAACCGGGCGCACCUGGUGACCCUGAGGUUCCGGCUCCUCCACCCCGCGGCUGCGAACCCACCGCGGAGGAAGUUGGUUGAAAUUGCUUUCCGCUGCUGGUGCUGGUACGAGGGCAUUGUCACAGCUGUAGCAACAUGUCGACUGGGGACAGUUUUGAAACUCGAUUUGAAAAAAUCGACAACCUGCUGCGGGAUCCCAAAUCGGAAGUGAAUUCGGAUUGUUUGCUGGAUGGAUUGGAUGCUUUGGUAUAUGAUUUGGAUUUUCCUGCCUUAAGAAAAAACAAAAAUAUUGACAACUUUUUAAGCAGAUAUAAAGACACAAUAAAUAAAAUUAGAGAUUUACGAAUGAAAGCUGAAGAUUAUGAAGUAGUGAAGGUGAUUGGUAGAGGUGCAUUUGGAGAAGUUCAAUUGGUAAGGCAUAAAUCCACCAGGAAGGUAUAUGCUAUGAAGCUUCUCAGCAAAUUUGAAAUGAUUAAGAGAUCUGAUUCUGCUUUUUUCUGGGAAGAAAGGGACAUCAUGGCUUUUGCUAACAGUCCUUGGGUUGUUCAGCUUUUUUAUGCAUUCCAAGAUGAUCGUUAUCUCUACAUGGUGAUGGAAUACAUGCCUGGUGGAGAUCUUGUAAACUUAAUGAGCAACUAUGAUGUGCCUGAAAAAUGGGCACGAUUCUAUACUGCAGAAGUAGUUCUUGCAUUGGAUGCAAUCCAUUCCAUGGGUUUUAUUCAUAGAGAUGUGAAGCCUGAUAACAUGCUGCUGGAUAAAUCUGGACAUUUGAAGUUAGCAGAUUUUGGUACUUGUAUGAAGAUGAAUAAGGAAGGCAUGGUACGAUGUGAUACAGCGGUUGGAACACCUGAUUAUAUUUCCCCUGAGGUAUUAAAAUCCCAAGGUGGUGAUGGUUAUUAUGGAAGAGAAUGUGACUGGUGGUCGGUUGGAGUAUUUUUAUACGAAAUGCUUGUAGGUGAUACACCUUUUUAUGCAGAUUCUUUGGUUGGAACUUACAGUAAAAUUAUGAACCAUAAAAAUUCACUUACCUUUCCUGAUGAUAAUGACAUAUCAAAAGAAGCAAAAAAUCUUAUUUGUGCUUUCCUUACUGACAGAGAAGUGAGAUUAGGUCGAAAUGGUGUAGAAGAAAUCAAACGACAUCUCUUCUUCAAAAAUGACCAAUGGGCUUGGGAAACACUUCGAGACACUGUAGCACCAGUUGUACCUGAUUUAAGUAGUGACAUUGAUACUAGUAAUUUUGAUGACUUGGAAGAAGAUAAAGGAGAAGAAGAAACAUUCCCUAUUCCUAAAGCUUUUGUUGGCAAUCAACUACCUUUUGUAGGAUUUACAUAUUAUAGCAGUCGUAGAUACUUAUCUUCAGCAAAUCCUAAUGAUAACAGAACUAGCUCCAAUGCAGAUAAAAGCUUGCAGGAAAGUUUGCAAAAAACAAUCUAUAAGCUGGAAGAACAGCUGCAUAACGAAAUGCAGUUAAAAGAUGAAAUGGAGCAGAAGUGCAGAACCUCAAACAUAAAACUAGACAAGAUAAUGAAAGAAUUGGAUGAAGAGGGAAAUCAAAGAAGAAAUCUAGAAUCUACAGUGUCUCAGAUUGAGAAGGAGAAAAUGUUGCUACAGCAUAGAAUUAAUGAGUACCAAAGAAAAGCUGAACAGGAAAAUGAGAAGAGAAGAAAUGUAGAAAAUGAAGUUUCUACGUUAAAGGAUCAGUUGGAAGACCUAAAGAAAGUAAGUCAGAAUUCACAGCUUGCUAAUGAAAAGCUGUCACAGUUACAAAAGCAGCUAGAAGAAGCCAAUGACUUACUUAGGACAGAAUCGGACACAGCUGUAAGAUUGAGGAAGAGCCACACAGAGAUGAGCAAGUCAAUUAGUCAGCUAGAGUCCCUGAACAGAGAGUUGCAAGAGAGAAACCGAAUUUUAGAGAAUUCUAAAUCACAAACAGACAAAGAUUAUUACCAGCUGCAAGCUAUAUUAGAAGCUGAACGAAGAGACAGGGGUCAUGAUUCUGAGAUGAUUGGAGACCUUCAAGCUCGAAUUACAUCUUUACAAGAGGAGGUCAAGCAUCUCAAACAUAAUCUUGAAAAAGUGGAAGGAGAAAGAAAAGAAGCUCAAGACAUGCUUAAUCACUCAGAAAAGGAAAAGAAUAAUUUAGAGAUAGAUUUAAACUACAAACUUAAAUCAUUACAACAACGGUUAGAACAAGAGGUAAAUGAACACAAAGUAACCAAAGCUCGUUUAACUGACAAACAUCAAUCUAUUGAAGAGGCAAAGUCUGUGGCAAUGUGUGAGAUGGAAAAAAAGCUGAAAGAAGAAAGAGAAGCUCGAGAGAAGGCUGAAAAUCGGGUUGUUCAGGUUGAGAAACAGUGUUCCAUGCUCGACGUUGAUCUGAAGCAAUCUCAGCAGAAACUAGAACAUUUGACUGGAAAUAAAGAAAGGAUGGAGGAUGAAGUUAAGAAUCUAACCCUACAACUGGAGCAGGAAUCAAAUAAGCGGCUGUUGUUACAAAAUGAAUUGAAGACUCAGGCAUUCGAGGCAGACAAUUUAAAAGGUUUAGAAAAGCAGAUGAAACAGGAAAUAAAUACUUUAUUGGAAGCAAAGAGAUUAUUAGAAUUUGAGUUAGCUCAACUUACAAAACAGUAUAGAGGAAAUGAAGGACAGAUGCGGGAACUACAAGAUCAGCUUGAAGCUGAGCAAUACUUCUCGACACUUUAUAAAACCCAGGUAAAGGAACUUAAAGAAGAGAUUGAAGAAAAAAACAGAGAAAAUUUAAAGAAAAUACAGGAACUACAAAAUGAAAAAGAAACUCUUGCUACUCAGUUGGAUCUAGCAGAAACAAAAGCUGAGUCUGAGCAGUUGGCUCGAGGGCUUCUGGAAGAACAGUAUUUUGAAUUGACGCAAGAAAGCAAGAAAGCUGCUUCAAGAAAUAGACAAGAGAUUACAGAUAAAGAUCACACUGUUAGUCGGCUUGAAGAAGCAAACAGCAUGCUAACCAAAGAUAUUGAAAUAUUAAGAAGAGAGAACGAAGAGCUGACAGAGAAAAUGAGGAGGACAGAGGAAGAAUAUAAAUUGGAGAAGGAAGAGGAAAUCAGUAACCUUAAGGCUGCUUUUGAAAAGAAUAUCAACACUGAACGAACGCUUAAAACACAGGCUGUUAACAAGUUGGCAGAAAUAAUGAAUCGAAAAGAUUUUAAAAUUGAUAGAAAGAAAGCUAAUACACAAGAUUUGAGAAAGAAAGAAAAGGAAAAUCGAAAGCUACAACUGGAACUCAACCAAGAAAGAGAGAAAUUCAACCAGAUGGUAGUGAAACAUCAGAAGGAACUGAAUGACAUGCAAGCGCAAUUGGUAGAAGAAUGUGCACAUAGGAAUGAGCUUCAGAUGCAGUUGGCCAGCAAAGAGAGUGAUAUUGAGCAGUUGCGUGCAAAACUUUUGGACCUCUCAGAUUCUACAAGUGUUGCUAGUUUUCCUAGUGCUGAUGAAACUGAUGGAAACCUGCCAGUUGAUUCUGCCUGCAUUCCUUAUUUAUUUAUCUCCUAUUCUUGUCUUCUAGUCAAGAAUUGAAGGUUGGCUUUCAGUACCAAAUAGAGGAAAUAUCAAACGAUAUGGCUGGAAGAAACAGUAUGUUGUGGUAAGCAGCAAAAAAAUUUUGUUCUAUAAUGAUGAGCAAGAUAAGGAGCAAUCCAAUCCAUCUAUGGUAUUGGACAUAGAUAAACUGUUUCAUGUUCGACCUGUAACCCAAGGAGAUGUGUAUAGAGCUGAAACUGAAGAAAUUCCUAAAAUAUUCCAGAUACUAUAUGCAAAUGAAGGUGAAUGUAGAAAAGAUGUAGAGAUGGAACCAGCACAACAAGCUGAAAAAACUAAUUUCCAAAAUCACAAAGGCCAUGAGUUUAUUCCUACACUCUACCACUUUCCUGCCAAUUGUGAUGCCUGUGCCAAACCUCUCUGGCAUGUUUUUAAGCCACCCCCUGCCCUAGAGUGUCGAAGAUGCCAUGUUAAGUGCCACAGAGAUCACUUAGAUAAGAAAGAGGACUUAAUUUGUCCAUGUAAAGUAAGUUAUGAUGUAACAUCAGCAAGAGAUAUGCUGCUGUUAGCAUGUUCUCAGGAUGAACAAAAAAAAUGGGUAACUCAUUUAGUAAAGAAAAUUCCUAAGAAUCCACCAUCUGGUUUUGUUCGUGCCUCCCCUCGAACGCUUUCUACAAGAUCCACUGCAAAUCAGUCUUUCCGGAAAGUGGUCAAAAAUACAUCUGGAAAAACUAGUUAACCAUGUGACCGAAUGCCUUGUGGAAUCGUGUGGGAUGCUACCUGAUAAACCAGGCUUCUUUAACCAUGCAGAUCAGACAGGCUGUUUCUUUGACACAAAUAUCACAGGCUUCAGGGUUAAGAUUGCUGUUAUUCUAUCCUUGCUUUGGCACAACACACUGAGGGUUUUUUUUUUUUUUAUUGCGGGUUUGCCUACAGGUAGAUUAGAUUAAUUAUUACUAUGUAAUGCAAGUACAAUUGGGGGAAAGCUUAGGUAGAUAUAUUUUUUUUUAAAGGUGCUGCCUUUUCGGAUUUAUAAGAAAAUGCCUGUCAGUCGUGAUAGAACAGAGUUUUCCUCAUAUGAGUAAGAGGAAGGGACUUUCACUUUCAAGUGGAACGGCCAUCACUAUCAAGAUCAGCUCAUGGAAGGAGUAAAGAAAAUAUCUCAAAAUGAGACAAACUGAAGUUUUUUUUUGUUUUUUUUUUAAUGACUUACGUUUUUGUGCUCUUGCGAGACUAUACAAAACUAUUUUAAGAAAGCAGUGAUAUCACUUGAACUUCAGUGCCCUCACUGUAGAAUUUAAAAGCCUUACUGUUGAUUGCCCAUGGUGGACUUCAUGGAGAAAUUAAAUAUCUUUCAUUAUGCUUUACAAAAUACUGUAUAUGUUUCAGCAAGUUUGGGGAACGGGAGAGGACAAAAAAAAUUACAUUUAAUCUAUGCAUUUUUGCCAAGCCAUAUUGAGUUAUUUUACUACUAGAGACAUUAGGAAACUAACUGUGCAAAAGAACCAAGUUUAAAAGCAUUUUGUCGGGUACAUCAUUUCUAUAAUUGUAUAAUGUAUUUCUUUGUGGUUUUAAAUGAUAAAGACAUUAAGUUAACAAACAUAUAAGAAAUGUAUGCACUGUUUAAAAUGUAAAUUAUUCUUAGAACACUUUCAAUGGGGGUUGCAUUGUCCUUUUAGUGCCUUAAUUUGAGAUAAUUAUUUUACUGCCAUGAGUAAGUAUAGAAACUUCAAAAAAUGUAUUUUCAAAAAAUUAUGUGUCAGUGAGUUUUUCAUUGAUAAUUGGUUUAAUUUAAAAUAUUUAGAGGUUUGUUGGACUUUCAUAAAUUGAGUACAAUCUUUGCAUCAAACUACCUGCUACAAUAAUGACUUUAUAAAAACUGUCUGCAAAAAAUGUAGAAAGUUGCAUCAGUAUGAAAAGGAAAUUAUGGCAAUACAUCCAUGAUGUUUUCCAGUUAACAUAGGAAUUUCCAGAUAAAUACUGUUAAACUCUUGUCCAGUAACAAGUGUUGAUUCAUAUGGGCAGUAUGAUUUAUUGUUUUUUUUUUAACCAAAUACCUCCUCAGUAAUUUAUAAUGGCUUUGCAGUAAUGUGUAUCAGAUAAGAAGCACUGGAAAACUGAUCGUCUCUAGGAUGAUAUGCAUGUUUCAAGUGGUAUUGAAAGCCGCACUGAUGGAUAUGUAAUAAUAAACAUAUCUGUUAUUAAUAUACUAAUGACUCUGUGCUCAUUUAAUGAGAAAUAAAAGUAAUUUAUGGAUGGAUAUCUUUAA
Molecule: RNA transcript, 6399 nt
Organism: Cebus imitator (Panamanian white-faced capuchin)
Lineage: Eukaryota; Metazoa; Chordata; Mammalia; Primates; Cebidae
Gene: ROCK1
Gene name: Rho associated coiled-coil containing protein kinase 1
Exons: 34
Source: RefSeq, a predicted model, not a curated record